This 292-nucleotide ribosomal RNA is filed under the name uncultured bacterium. RNAcentral describes it as "partial 16S ribosomal RNA". It matches the Rfam family "Bacterial small subunit ribosomal RNA", at positions 505 to 796 of the family's 1533-position model. The record is from RNAcentral.
GUGCCAGCAGCCGCGGUAAUACGGAGGGUGCAAGCGUUGUUCGGAAUUAUUGGGCGUAAAGGGCGUGUAGGUGGCAUUCCAAGUCUGGUGUGAAAUCCCACGGCUCAACCGUGGAACUGCAUUGGAAACUGGAACGCUCGAGGGUUGGAGGGGGUCGCGGAAUUCCCGGUGUAGAGGUGAAAUUCGUAGAUAUCGGGAGGAACACCAGUGGCGAAGGCGGCGACCUGGCCAAUCACUGACACUGAGACGCGAAAGCGUGGGGAGCAAACAGGAUUAGAUACCCCCGUAGUCC